UUGCGCCGCUCCGCCGCGCAGUCGCGCAAUCACAGACAGGCUCCCGUCACGCUCGCGGAUGCAAACGUCACUGCAGCGCGCGGAAUGAUGGCCUGACACAGCCACGAACGGGUUAAGGAUCCAACGUUAAUGAAAGGUGGAUCAUCCAAAAUAUACACUACUAUCGUUUCUUCACAGGGGUGACAGACAUCGCCCACAGUCUGACAGAGAGAAAUAGAACAACAGGAGUCCAUGUAAAGAUUCUAAUAAACACUAAAGGCACAAGAAUCCAGAAAACCAAGAAUGACAAAACACCUGCACAAACCACAGUCACAACUACAGAAAAAAAAAGAACAAGAUUAUACAAUCACUAUACUAUUUCAUGUUGCUGCAAUAUGUGUGUCGUGAUCAGUAAGCUAUGUGUGAGGACAAAAACAAAUAAAUCACCGUUAUAUUACUGUUAUUGUAAGAAUACUAACAGCAACAACUAAUAUAUAAAAAAGCUGUUGAUUAAAGGAGAGGAACCUGACGAUGGGACUGUUGGUAACAGUUCAUACGAGUGAGAAUUAUCUGUGUAUUGCUUGUAAAUAGAGUCAGAUUUUUUUUUUUUUUUUAAGAACAACAUUUACUCUUUUUAAAACUCAAAAUGAAUCAAGUAGUACAGAAUUUUUCAAAUGACAGUACUAGUGAUUUUGGAUGAAAUGUCAUUAAAUGUCUUGAUGGGUCAACAGUA
Ctenopharyngodon idella (grass carp) is the source of this 712-nucleotide long non-coding RNA. RefSeq lists it as uncharacterized. The transcript has 3 exons. The record is from RefSeq and is a predicted model, not a curated record. NCBI's taxonomy places the organism in Eukaryota, Metazoa, Chordata, Actinopteri, Cypriniformes, Xenocyprididae.